RNAcentral lists this ribosomal RNA (478 nucleotides) under uncultured bacterium. Its description in RNAcentral is "partial 16S ribosomal RNA". It matches the Rfam family "Bacterial small subunit ribosomal RNA", at positions 28 to 507 of the family's 1533-position model. The record is from RNAcentral.
GAUGAACGCUGGCGGCGUGCUUAACACAUGCAAGUCGAACGGGAAACCUUUUAUUGAAGCUUCGGCAGAUUUAGCUGGUUUCUAGUGGCGGACGGGUGAGUAACGCGUGGGUAACCUGCCUUAUACAGGGGGAUAACAGUCAGAAAUGGCUGCUAAUACCGCAUCAGCGCACAGAGCUGCAUGGCUCAGUGUGAAAAACUCCGGUGGUAUAAGAUGGACCCGCGUUGGAUUAGCUGGUUGGUGGGGUAACGGCCCACCACGGCGACGAUCCAUAGCCGGCGUGAGAGGGUGAACGGCCACAUUGGGACUGAGACACGGCCCAGACUCCUACGGGAGGCAGCAGUGGGGAAUAGUGCACAAUGGGGGAAACCCUGAUGCAGCGACGCCGCGUGAAGGAAGAAGUAUCUCGGUAUGUAAACUUCUAUCAGCAGGGAAGAUAAUGACGGUACCUGACUAAGAAGCCCCGGCUAACUACGUG